RNAcentral lists this ribosomal RNA (253 nucleotides) under uncultured bacterium. RNAcentral describes it as "partial 16S ribosomal RNA". It matches the Rfam family "Bacterial small subunit ribosomal RNA", at positions 524 to 776 of the family's 1533-position model. The record is from RNAcentral.
UACGAAGGGGGCUAGCGUUGCUCGGAAUCACUGGGCGUAAAGGGUGCGUAGGCGGGGCUUUAAGUCAGGGGUGAAAUCCUGGAGCUCAACUCCAGAACUGCCUUUGAUACUGAGGAUCUUGAGUUCGGGAGAGGUGAGUGGAACUGCGAGUGUAGAGGUGAAAUUCGUAGAUAUUCGCAAGAACACCAGCGGCGAAGGCGGCUCACUGGCCCGAUACUGACGCUGAGGCACGAAAGCGUGGGGAGCAAACAGG